Zerene cesonia (dogface butterfly) is the source of this 331-nucleotide long non-coding RNA. RefSeq lists it as uncharacterized. NCBI's taxonomy places the organism in Eukaryota, Metazoa, Arthropoda, Insecta, Lepidoptera, Pieridae. The transcript has 2 exons. The record is from RefSeq and is a predicted model, not a curated record.
CAGCUGUCAAAUAAUGUAAAGUGUAAACAACUGUGCUGUCAAAAUUUAAAUAUGAAGUAGUUUUUUUUCAUUCUUCGUAAUCCGAUAUUUAUUUUCAUAAAAAGGAUUUAAAAUACAAUACCAAGAUGACUUCUGUCGUUACUGAUCGUCCUCGAGAUUGCACGGCAUGUAGAAUCGUCGGUGCCAUGGGCUUAGUAGGAAUUGGAGGUUAUCUCGCAAAUGUAGCUUGGAAAAACAACACUCUUGUGGGUAGAGUUGCUGUAUCUACAAUGUCCCUUGCCUUUGUAAGCCUUGGCAUAGCCAGGUAUAAGCAGCAAUACCCUUUCAAUCA